AUCUGGUUGAUAAGUCCAGAAUGGGACGAAACGCGCGUCCUGGAU
This is a non-coding RNA of Schistosoma curassoni, 45 nucleotides long. Lineage: Eukaryota; Metazoa; Platyhelminthes; Trematoda; Strigeidida; Schistosomatidae. The record is from Rfam.